AUUGAACGCUGGCGGCAUGCCUUACACAUGCAAGUCGAACGGUAACAGGUCUUUGGAUGCUGACGAGUGGCGAACGGGUGAGUAAUACAUCGGAACGUGCCUAGUAGUGGGGGAUAACUACUCGAAAGAGUAGCUAAUGCCGCAUGAGAUCUACGGAUGAAAGCAGGGGAUCGCAAGACCUUGUGCUACUAGAGCGGCCGAUGGCAGAUUAGGUAGUUGGUGGGAUAAAAGCUUACCAAGCCGACGAUCUGUAGCUGGUCUGAGAGGACGAUCAGCCACACUGGGACUGAGACACGGCCCAGACUCCUACGGGAGGCAGCAGUGGGGAAUUUUGGACAAUGGGCGAAAGCCUGAUCCAGCAAUGCCGCGUGCAGGAUGAAGGCCUUCGGGUUGUAAACUGCUUUUGUACGGAACGAAAAGCUUCGGGUUAAUACCCUGGAGUCAUGACGGUACCGUAAGAAUAAGCACCGGCUAACUACGUGCCAGCAGCCGCAGUAA
Molecule: ribosomal RNA, 498 nt
Filed under: uncultured bacterium
Lineage: Bacteria
Description: partial 16S ribosomal RNA
Rfam family: Bacterial small subunit ribosomal RNA
Source: RNAcentral